RNAcentral lists this unclassified non-coding RNA (465 nucleotides) under Pichia cactophila. Its description in RNAcentral is "sequence contains 18S rRNA gene, ITS1, 5.8S rRNA gene, ITS2, 28S rRNA gene". The stretch from base 135 to 287 matches the Rfam family "5.8S ribosomal RNA". The record is from RNAcentral. Lineage: Eukaryota; Fungi; Ascomycota; Pichiomycetes; Pichiales; Pichiaceae.
GUCGUAACAAGGUUUCCGUAGGUGAACCUGCGGAAGGAUCAUUACUGUGAUUUUAACAUCUUUACACUGCGUGAGCGCACAACAACACCUAAACAUGAAUACUUACUAGUCACUAAGAAAUCUAAAAGAAAUAAAACUUUCAACAACGGAUCUCUUGGUUCUCGCAUCGAUGAAGAGCGCAGCGAAAUGCGAUACCUAGUGUGAAUUGCAGCCAUCGUGAAUCAUCGAGUUCUUGAACGCACAUUGCGCCCUCCGGCAUUCCGGGGGGCAUGCCUGUUUGAGCGUCGUUUCCUUCUUGCGCAAGCAGAGUUGGGGUUGUCACCGUCUUUCGGUGGCUCCCCCGAAAUGGAACGAUUGCGGGCUUAGAGAGCGAACUAUAAAACGCGCGUUCUCCCCGCCGAACUUUUAAUCAAGCUCGACCUCAAAUCAGGUAGGAAUACCCGCUGAACUUAAGCAUAUCAAUAA